GCCAUGGCUAAUUGGAAUAGAGGAGACUCUCAAGAGAAUAGAGUCCAAAGUGGAUUCCAUUACAUCCCAACUCAAUCGGACGAGGAGAUAUGUAGAGUCAAGAGCUACCAACCUAUUAAGAAGGAGGCAAAACUCGAAGUUUCUACUCCGGUUGUCCAUAAUGUUGACUUGACUGGCAUGUACGCUAGCAAGACGUCACCAAGUAUGCGAGGGAAGUUUUAGGCCAGCUUUUCUCGAAGAAAGAACUGAGCCAAGCCAUAUUCAGAAAAAUUGGUCCGACUUCACGCAAAGCGCUUUCUCUGACUCAAUGCAAUAGUGUUACGAACUGUCUUGAGAAGCUCUACUCCAAGGAGAUGUUGGAGAAAAAUGAGAUGGUCAUAUGGGAAAGUCUCAAUCAAAAGUGUAGGGAGGCAGGAGUAGCUGUCAAGUCGAAAGCUGAAUCAGAUCUAGAGGGACUACCAUCAAUAGGACGCAAUCUUUGCAGCUCAGAGGAGGAGGAUUAGAGAACUACGCAGUAGAGGCUAGAGUAUAGCUAUACCUAGAAGGUUAUUGUGUUUGAGAGUUUCAUGAAGAAUAGAAGGUGUAUGUAUACAU
Molecule: long non-coding RNA, 594 nt
Organism: Corticium candelabrum
Lineage: Eukaryota; Metazoa; Porifera; Homoscleromorpha; Homosclerophorida; Plakinidae
Exons: 4
Source: RefSeq, a predicted model, not a curated record